Molecule: ribosomal RNA, 437 nt
Filed under: uncultured bacterium
Lineage: Bacteria
Description: partial 16S ribosomal RNA
Rfam family: Bacterial small subunit ribosomal RNA
Source: RNAcentral
GAUGAACGCUGGCGGCAUGCCUAACACAUGCAAGUCGGACGGGAAGUGGUGUUUCGAGUGGCGGACGGGGGAGCAACUCGCAAGAACCUGCCCUAGGGAGGGGAACAACAGCUGGAAAGGGGGGCUAAUACGCCGUAGGCUGGGGAGUAAAAGGUGGGACCCGCCCGUGGAGGGGCGGGCGCAUGAUAAAUUAGGUGGUGGGGUAAUAGCUUGCCAAAGCGGUGAUCUGGAGCGGUUCCGAGAGGACCAUCAGCCACACUGGGACUGGGACACGGCCCAGAGUCCUCCGGGAGGCAGCCGCAGGGAAUUUUCAGCAAUGGGGGAAGGCCUAACGGAGCCAUGCCGCGUGGAGGUAGAAGGCCCACGGGUCAUGAACUUCUUUUCCAGGAGCAGAAGCAAUGACGGUAUCUGGGGAAUAAGCAUCGGCUAACUCUGUG